RNAcentral lists this ribosomal RNA (508 nucleotides) under uncultured bacterium. RNAcentral describes it as "partial 16S ribosomal RNA". It matches the Rfam family "Bacterial small subunit ribosomal RNA", at positions 28 to 523 of the family's 1533-position model. The record is from RNAcentral.
GAUGAACGCUAGCGGCAGGCUUAAUACAUGCAAGUCGAGGGGCAGCAGGUCCCGCAGCAAUGCGGGAUGCUGGCGACCGGCAAACGGGUGCGGAACACGUACAGAACCUUCCUUUAAGUGGGGAAUAGCCCGGGGAAACCCGGAUUAAUACCCCGGACAAUAAUGAAGUGGCAUCACUUUAUUAUUAUAGCAGCAAUGCGCUUGAAGAUUGCUGAGCGGCUGAUUAGGUAGUUGGCGGGGUAACGGCCCACCAAGCCUACGAUCAGUAACAGGUGAGAGAGCACGACCAGUCACACGGGCACUGAGACACGGGCCCGACUCCUACGGGAGGCAGCAGUAAGGAAUAUCGGGCAAUGGACGCAAGUCUGACCCAGCCAUGCCGCGUGGAGGAUGAAGGUCCUCUGGAUUGUAAACUUCUUUUAUCUGGGAAGAAAUCUAUUUUUUCUAAAGUAGUUGACGGUACCAGAUGAAUAAGCACCGGCUAACUCCGUGCCAGCCGCCGCCGUAA